GACGAACGCUGGCGGCGUGGAUUAGGCAUGCAAGUCGAACGGUAUCAUCCUUUCGGGGGUGAGAGAGUGGCGAACUGGUGAGUAACACGUAGGUUAUCUACCCUCAAGACGGGGACGAACCCAGGGAAACUUGGGCUAAUACCGGAUGUGAGCAACUUUUAGUUGUUUGAAAGGUGGCGUAAGCUGUCGCUUGGGGAUGAGCCUGCGUCCUAUUAGUUAGUUGGUGAGGUAACGGCUCACCUAGGCAAUGAUAGGUAGGCGGCCUUAACGGGUGGUCGCCCACACUGGGAUUGAGAUACGGCCCAGACUCCUACGGGAGGCAGCAGUCGAGAAUAGUCUACAAUGGUCGGAAGACUGAUAGUGCGACGCCGCGUGAACGAUGAAUCCCUUCGGGGUGUAAAGUUCUUUUAUAUGUGAGCAGUGCUUCUUAUAUUAACAGUAUGGGGAGAGAGAUAUUAGCAUAUGAAUAAGCAACGGCUAACUCCGUGCCAGCAGCCGCGGUAAU
Molecule: ribosomal RNA, 505 nt
Filed under: uncultured bacterium
Lineage: Bacteria
Description: bacterial SSU rRNA
Rfam family: Bacterial small subunit ribosomal RNA
Source: RNAcentral